UACAGAGGGGGCAAGCGUUGUUCGGAAUUACUGGGCGUAAAGGGCGCGUAGGCGGCCUGUUAAGUCGAACGUGAAAUCCCCGGGCUCAACCCGGGAACUGCGUCCGAUACUGGAAGGCUUGAAUCCGGGAGAGGGAUGUGGAAUUCCAGGUGUAGCGGUGAAAUGCGUAGAUAUCUGGAGGAACACCGGUGGCGAAGGCGACAUCCUGGACCGGUAUUGACGCUGAGGCGCGAAAGCCAGGGGAGCAAACGGG
RNAcentral lists this ribosomal RNA (253 nucleotides) under uncultured bacterium. Its description in RNAcentral is "partial 16S ribosomal RNA". It matches the Rfam family "Bacterial small subunit ribosomal RNA", at positions 524 to 776 of the family's 1533-position model. The record is from RNAcentral.